RNAcentral lists this ribosomal RNA (254 nucleotides) under uncultured bacterium. RNAcentral describes it as "partial 16S ribosomal RNA". It matches the Rfam family "Bacterial small subunit ribosomal RNA", at positions 524 to 776 of the family's 1533-position model. The record is from RNAcentral.
UACGGAGGGUGCGAGCGUUGUUCGGAAUUACUGGGCGUAAAGCGCGUGUAGGCGGCUGGUUAAGUGUGAUGUGAAAUCUUCGGGCUCAACCCGAAAACUGCAUUGCAAACUGGCCUGGCUAGAGUGCAGGAGAGGGAAGCGGAAUUCCAGGUGUAGCGGUGAAAUGCGCAGAUAUCGGGAAGAACACCCGUGGCGAAGGCGGUUCUCUGGGACGGUACUGACGCUGAGACGCGAAAGCGUGGGGAGCGAACAGG